UACGAAGGGGGCUAGCGUUGCUCGGAAUUACUGGGCGUAAAGCGCACGUAGGCGGCUUUCUAAGUCGGGGGAUGAAAUCCCUGGAGCUCAACUCCAGAACUGCCUUCGAUACUGGAGAGCUUGAGUCCGGGAGAGGGUGAGUGGAACUGCGAGUGUAGAGGUGAAAUUCGUAGAUAUUCGCAAGAACACCAGUGGCGAAGGCGGGCUCACUGGCCCGGUACUGACGCUGAGGUGCGAAAGCGUGGGGAGCAAACAGG
Molecule: ribosomal RNA, 257 nt
Filed under: uncultured bacterium
Lineage: Bacteria
Description: partial 16S ribosomal RNA
Rfam family: Bacterial small subunit ribosomal RNA
Source: RNAcentral